Amblyraja radiata (thorny skate) is the source of this 1749-nucleotide long non-coding RNA. RefSeq lists it as uncharacterized. The record is from RefSeq and is a predicted model, not a curated record. Lineage: Eukaryota; Metazoa; Chordata; Chondrichthyes; Rajiformes; Rajidae. The transcript has 2 exons.
UUUCACUUUCUUAGUGAAAUCUUGCAACAGUGGAAUCAAUUCUUAGAAAGCGUUGCCUGAUGUUUAAUGGGGCCAGUUGCGGAAGGGAGGCAUCUUGAUCAGCACGGAGGUGUUGGGCCGAAGGGCCUGUUUUCCAUGAAAAACACGGAAGUUCUGGAGGAGCUCAGCGGGUCAGGCAGUAUCUGUGGAAGGAAAUGGACAGGAGAUGUUUUGGGGUUCGGCCUUUAGCAUGAUGGGUCAGCAUUGGUGGGUUGGGCCGAAUGGCCUGCUUUCUUGCUGAAUGACCUUGCGACUGCAAGCUUGGGAAACGAGGCUUCCUUGGAUCCAGAUUUGGAAAUGUUGAUAGGGAUUGAUAGAUAGGUCUUUAAGAAACCAGGAACUGCAGAUGCUGGAAUCUUGAGCAAAACACAGAGUUACUCCGGUUACACUUUGUGUAAUUGAGGUUCAAGGUGAUUGUCGGUGGAUGUGUGUGUGUCCUUGGUUUCCCGGAGGUGAAGGAGCGAGCGGUUUUGUUAUUGUUUUGGUGGAUCCGUUUCCUUAUUUGGUUGCUGAUGCGACAGGGAAAGGGGGGCGCUUGGCGUUGCAGGGAGGCGUUGCCUUGCCUUCAGAAUAAUGCAGCUAGCUACCUUUCACAUGACGGGAAGGGCGGGCAGAGCCGGGGGCUCUUGAGGUAACGAGAAUCACGAGGGCUGCGAGCGUAACAAACGAUUGCUCUGUGAUUGAAAAGCGAGACUGCGAAAAAAAAUAACAAUAAAACUGCUACCAAUGCAGUACUGCGGUGAAAUCACAAGAUCCGGCCUCGUCAAUUGCGUUGUUGGGAUUUUUCUGCUGAAUUUUAAUAAUAAGGACAUUGGAAGCCAACAUUUGCAAAGUGGAAGGAGAGGGGGCGAGGGGCUUUCCUUUAGACUGUGCAAAUGGGAGAGAGGGGGGUUGUAAUUAGUGCUGCUAGUGGGAAUGUUUGUGUUGGUUGGGUUUGUGGACGGGCGCUGCAGAUGCAUCUAUGCCUACAGCUUGGGGAGGGAGGAAGUGUAAUGGAUGGGUGGGGGCAAGUUCCCGACAGGGCUGGCAGAUGGGAGGUGAUUUGAUCUUGGGGGUUGUAGCCACUAGACGGCGCGUCCACCGCUUGCUGCAAUUUGGCAGCGCGCCUCCCCUUUGUUUUGAGCUCGUUUUUAUCUGCUGCGUAACACUGUUUUGGAAACUGAACCUUGGUCUUACAAAGCAGGGACCCGCACUUCGGCUGGAAACGCGCCUCCAAAUUUUGAGCACAUAUUUCUCAUACUCUUUUCCCCCCCCCCCCUUCCUUAUUUAUCUCUCUUGGAAACGUUUUAAAGUUAUUUAAUACUGUGACACACUGGGGUGCAGGAAAGAAUUGCUUGCAAAUCAUUUAAUUCUCUCCAUCCCAUAUCAAAUGGCGCGUUGAUAAUUUAUUUAAACUGGAUAAAUUGCUCCCUCUGAACAUCCGCCCAUUUGCAAAUUUGCCAUCAAUGCAAAUUAAUCAAUAUUGCAUUUUAUCUCGUUGCAAUAUAUUAGUUGCGUGUGUGUGAGGGGGGUUUGCAAUUUCUGAAGGGCAUUUUUAAAAAACAAUGCAGUAUUUUUUUUUAAAUAGUAACGGCAUUUUAAAAUAAAAUGCACGAUAAUUAUAAUGUUUUAAGAUUGUGGCGGUGCAAAUUGUGUUUGUAAUUUUGCUGAGGAGCCGCUAGUCUCCCGACAGCCGGGCGAGCUCAGUGCAAAAUAAACUGGCUGCAAUUU